This 492-nucleotide ribosomal RNA is filed under the name uncultured bacterium. RNAcentral describes it as "partial 16S ribosomal RNA". It matches the Rfam family "Bacterial small subunit ribosomal RNA", at positions 29 to 507 of the family's 1533-position model. The record is from RNAcentral.
AUUGAACGCUGGCGGCAUGCUUUACACAUGCAAGUCGAACGGUAACAGGCCUUCGGGUGCUGACGAGUGGCGAACGGGUGAGUAAUGCAUCGGAACGUACCCAGAGGUGGGGGAUAACGCAGCGAAAGCUGUGCUAAUACCGCAUGUGAUCUGAGGAUGAAAGCGGGGGACCGAGCAGCAAUGUUUGGCCUCGCGCCUUUGGAGCGGCCGAUGUCGGAUUAGCUAGUUGGUGGGGUAAAGGCCUACCAAGGCGACGAUCCGUAGCUGGUCUGAGAGGACGACCAGCCACACUGGGACUGAGACACGGCCCAGACUCCUACGGGAGGCAGCAAUGGGGAAUUUUGGACAAUGGGCGCAAGCCUGAUCCAGCAAUGCCGCGUGCGGGAAGAAGGCCUUCGGGUUGUAAACCGCUUUUGGCAGGAACGAAACGGUGUCCGCUAAUACCGGGCGCUAAUGACGGUACCUGCAGAAUAAGCACCGGCUGACUACGUG